Molecule: ribosomal RNA, 271 nt
Filed under: uncultured prokaryote
Description: partial 16S ribosomal RNA
Rfam family: Bacterial small subunit ribosomal RNA
Source: RNAcentral
UACGGAGGAUCCGAGCGUUAUCCGGAUUUAUUGGGUUUAAAGGGUGCGCAGGCGGGAGAUUAAGUCGGUGGUGAAAUUUUGCAGCUCAACUGUAAAAGUGCCUUCGAAACUGGUUUCCUUGAGUGUAGAUGAAGUAGGCGGAAUUUGUGGUGUAGCGGUGAAAUGCAUAGAUAUCACGAGGAACUCCGAUUGCGCAGGCAGCUUACUAAACUACUACUGACGCUCAGGCACGAAGGCGUGGGGAUCAAACAGGAUUAGAUACCCGGGUAGU